GUCCACGCCGUAAACGAUGGAUACUAGCUGUUGGGGCAACUUCAGUGGCUAAGCGAAAGUGAUAAGUAUCCCACCUGGGGAGUACGUUCGCAAGAAUGAAACUCAAAGGAAUUGACGGGGGCCCGCACAAGCGGUGGAGCAUGUGGUUUAAUUCGAUGAUACGCGAGGAACCUUACCAAGGCUUAAAUGUAGUUUGACCGAUUUGGAAACAGAUCUUUCGCAAGACAAAUUACAAGGUGCUGCAUGGUUGUCGU
Molecule: ribosomal RNA, 254 nt
Filed under: uncultured bacterium
Lineage: Bacteria
Description: partial 16S ribosomal RNA
Rfam family: Bacterial small subunit ribosomal RNA
Source: RNAcentral